RNAcentral lists this ribosomal RNA (253 nucleotides) under uncultured Coprococcus sp. RNAcentral describes it as "partial 16S ribosomal RNA". It matches the Rfam family "Bacterial small subunit ribosomal RNA", at positions 524 to 776 of the family's 1533-position model. The record is from RNAcentral. Lineage: Bacteria; Bacillati; Bacillota; Clostridia; Lachnospirales; Lachnospiraceae.
UACGGAGGAUGCGAGCGUUAUCCGGAUUUAUUGGGUUUAAAGGGUGCGUAGGCGGUUUAGCAAGUCAGAAGUGAAAGCCCGGGGCUCAACUCCGGGACUGCUUUUGAAACUGUUGAACUAGAUUGCAGGAGAGGUAAGUGGAAUUCCUAGUGUAGCGGUGAAAUGCGUAGAUAUUAGGAGGAACACCAGCGGCGAAGGCGGCUUACUGGACCGUGACUGACGUUGAGGCUCGAAAGCGUGGGGAGCAAACAGG